GUGACAGAGUAGAUUGUCCCUAGGUCUGGAUCCGUUGAGACGCUCAGCUGUACUUUCUCCUGCGAUUCUAUUUCCACAAAAUCAGAGAGAGCACUAACGACGUUGCUUACAAUCUUCUGUUUGGCCUCAUCACUGACAGCACAUCUAUCAGAGAAGAGAAUCAUCCUCAGGCGUUGCUUAGCAACAUUAGCAGCAGAAUUACUUGCCGAAGGGGAUGGUGGAA
Molecule: unclassified non-coding RNA, 223 nt
Filed under: Hevea brasiliensis (rubber tree)
Lineage: Eukaryota; Viridiplantae; Streptophyta; Magnoliopsida; Malpighiales; Euphorbiaceae
Source: RNAcentral